UUCAGUAAAGCAGGUAAAACUGAUGUCAUAUCUCCUAGCUUUGCAAUAGAUCGGAAUGUGCAUCUUGGUGUCUGAAUCAGCGUUCCGCCACGCUAUACAAGCCCAGGAUGCUCAUCACUCACCGUCACAGAACAACGGUAUGCGCGCUGAGAGAGCCGCUCGCUAUGCCAAGCAUGGCGACGUAAGCGCUCUCGUUUAAACUUCAUCGCAACAGGACGGGGUGAGUAUUUAUGGCUGGCCUUCUUUUACAGCUAAGGAAUUUGAGGUCCAAAGAGGGUAAAGUAACUUUGCAAAGGCCACAGCAGUCAGUGCCAGAGUCAGGUGGAAACCUAGAUCUGGUCCUGCACGGGAGAAGAGGGCAGGUGGAGGAUUGGCGUUGCAGCUCAGCAGGCAGAAUGCUCGCCUAGCAUGCCCAGGGUCCCGGACUUGUCCCCAGAACUGCAUUACUGGGCACAGUGUCCCAUGCUGUGUUCCAGCACCCACCGAGCAGAGGGAGGAAGGCCAGAAGGUUUAGGUCAUUCUCAGCUAUACAGCGAGUUUGGGGCCAGCCUGGGAGACCCAGAUCGGGGGCGGGGUGAGGAGCAGUGAAGAGUCUAGGGGGUGAACCUCACAACUGCUGCCCCGGACUCCGCAUGCUGAACACUGCAGUGAGAGGACUGAUGGGAAGAGGGCAGCGUGGUGCCUAAGUAGGAGUGGUCGAGGCUCCGUGUGCCCACGGGACGUCAUCUCAGAGGGCCUCUUCCUGGGCCAGGCUCAGAGGCAGUGUGACUGCCCGGCUGAUGUGUGUACUAAAGGGUGGGGUCCAUGUAUUAGGAGUGGCUGGGUUGGGCCGGACUGGCCUUUGUGAUGCUUCCCACGGAGAAGCUGGUGAUUCAUUGCCCUCCCCAGGCUGCCCAGCCACUCUCAGGGCACAACUUGUGAACAAGUCAGAAACUGUCAUCUGGGCCAGAGAGAAAGACGGGGAGAUGAGGGGGCUUCUAAGGCCACCCCCAGUCUCCUGCCGACCCCAAAUCUUACCUUCUGAACUACAUACUGGACCCAUACUGUUCAUAACUCAGAACCUCCCUCACCUGUGGCUGGAAACCUUCCUUCACCCAAUUUCUGAACUUUUUUUUUUUCUGGAAAGUUCUAGAAACUCUACUCUCCUGGGCUGGCUCUGAGGUACAACUACUUCAGUGCAAAGUAGGGGUUCUGCUGCCUGGAGUACUCUCGGGGUACUUCUGGGAGGUGCGCAGCAAUAAAUCAAUCCGCGUGAACCAUUAAUCAAUACUUUCCGGAAGUUUGGUCAGGCCAAUGCAGGUUUGUCGUCCUAGUAAAUAGGUCUGGGUUCCUCAGACUAAAGAAAACAAGAGGCAUAGCCUAGCCCAUGAGGCACCUGAAAACCCGCAAUCACCAUAACAGCACAAUUAGAGGAAGAAUUAAGUGUCAAACUGUGAGAGUCUCCCUUGGCCCAGCAGGACUUUCAAAAUGACGGACCUUCAGAAGCUUCCAGAAAGAAGCCUGGGGAGGGUCCUGUGAGGACCUGGGAUGUAGUCCUGUCUGUGCCUGCACUGUCUUUCAAAGCAGCUGGGUGACUCAGGAAGCCAAACAAGGUACUUGAGCCCCCAUUUUCUCAUCUGCACAACAGGAAUGAGAAGGAAGAGUUGUCCUGCCUGCCAUCUAACAAGUGAGGGCCAGUCUAAGAGGAGCGGCUGGCCUUGGGGUGCAGGAAGGCUUUUGGGACACUGGGUCCCAUCAGUUGCUGAGUUUGCCCUUACUGCACAAGCACUCCAGACACCUGGAAGAGAUGGGCCCGUGCUUCCCAACUCUUGUAAGAUCGGAAGAACGGGACUGAAUGAGGUGGGCAGGGGUGAGGGGUGUCUGACAAGGCCCACAAUGGCUAAAGUCAAACCCCCACACUGGAGCCCUAAGGUGGAGCAGCUGGCGAGGGAGAGUCUUUCAGACAGGGGAUCCUGCCUGCACCCCCUGCAGAGCAGGUACAGCCGAGGGAAGCGGAAGAGUUUAUACACUCAGCCAGGAUGCCGGGCGGAGAGAGGCUUGGCCACCUGUACUGGAUUUCCAGAUCUGCUCCACUGGAUAAGCGUGUGACUGCUCACCUCAUAUCUUCCAAUGUUUUACUGUGCUCUGCCGCUUCAUCCUCAGCCACUGCUGCUGUGACUUACGGGGGUCCCAGCCACACUUCUUAGCACACAGAGUGCGCUUUGCAAACAAGGCUGCCUGCCCAUCACUAUCGCCAUGCUUCUGGACAAAGCGACACCCAGUGCCUUUCUCCUCUCACGUUCCGCUGAGGGAAACUGAGAAAACCAAUUUCCUCUCAAUACCCUGCGGAUGAACUCGGGCUAGCUUUCCAGGGGCUCGUGAAAUAAUAACAACAUUCUUUCCUUGCUUUCGUGCCAAGUACCGUGAAGCAGAUCUUAGGCACACCUCAAGGAUGCUACUAUCUCCACUGUUUAGAAGAGUAGGCAGGGAACUCUGCCAGGCUCACAGACACCUGGAAACUCUACGCUGAGGCGGGCACCUCACAGCUCACUGCCAGAGCCCUGGCAUAGACUGCCUGCCUCUUGGGAAAAAUCAUUAGUAAGAUUUGGGGAGAGUCUAUUGUUUGGAUGCUGGACCACAGUGUGGGUGUUGUUAGGAGACCUGAGCCUCCCCCCCCCCGCCCCCCAGCACAUAGUGAGCUCUCUGAGACAGCACAACCUCCCAUGUCACUGGGGACAGUCAUGGAGGAGAGAGCAAAGGCUCAGCUUGUCCUGCAGAGAGUCAGGACAGAAGCCACAGAAAAGGCUGCAGGCCUAUCUAACAGCAAGAGUCAGAACCCUUGACUGGCAGGCAAGUCAGGCCCUGCAGCAGCUGAGCCAGGCUGAGUCUCCCAGGUUUGCUGGGUCUGUAGAGAGAUCUGUGCUCUGACUAGCUGCAGAGCUCCUGGGGUGGGGGACGGCUUUCUGAUUAGCUUCCACGUCUAGAGUCUGUUACUUAUUUUGCCCUCCUUAUUUUGUCUCAGUGCUUGCUGCAGGAGAGCAAGCUAUCCCAUGUCAUAGGCAGGGCCACUGUCCUGCAGAAGGCAUGCAGCAAGUAGUUAACAAUGGUGGGGGCGUCUGAGUAGCACAGCCCCACUCCCCACCCCCGCCAGCUACAAGGGCCUCCUUCACCAGCAAGAACAUGCUCUCUGGAACUGGCUGGAAAACCCCUCUCCACCCGGCUCUCUUUUGUAAACAAAGCCAGUCA
Alexandromys fortis (reed vole) is the source of this 3225-nucleotide long non-coding RNA. RefSeq lists it as uncharacterized. NCBI's taxonomy places the organism in Eukaryota, Metazoa, Chordata, Mammalia, Rodentia, Cricetidae. The transcript is spliced from 4 exons. The record is from RefSeq and is a predicted model, not a curated record.